Long non-coding RNA from Sinocyclocheilus grahami, 84 nucleotides. RefSeq lists it as uncharacterized. NCBI's taxonomy places the organism in Eukaryota, Metazoa, Chordata, Actinopteri, Cypriniformes, Cyprinidae. The record is from RefSeq and is a predicted model, not a curated record. The transcript has 4 exons.
GUUUUAAAGAAAAAAAGAAAAAAAGUAUACACUCAACGUCGGCCAAAGCAUAGCUUAUUUAUUCAAAUCAGCCGGGGAAAUGCA